Molecule: non-coding RNA, 666 nt
Organism: Peromyscus maniculatus bairdii (prairie deer mouse)
Lineage: Eukaryota; Metazoa; Chordata; Mammalia; Rodentia; Cricetidae
Source: RefSeq, a predicted model, not a curated record
AUGAGUCUCCACAAUGAAUGUAAGCAUUGCUGGCCCACAAGGCUCCCUGUCUAAGUAGAUUGUGUAGGCCUGGAGCUCCCUAAAUCAUUAAACUUACUCAUUAUCCCUGUCUCCCAAAGCAACCUGUGUUGCAAUGCAUAAGGAAGCAAAUGAUAAGGAAGCAUAUGGUUCCUGAGGAUCUGUGUGGCCGAGGAGCUUUCUUUUAACCGACUGAGGAACAUCUUACUCCAAAGGGUUGACUUUGGUCUUUUAAGUCAGCAGUGUCAAGAAAUGAAGGAGAAGCUGCAGAUGAAACUGGCAGACAAAGAGUACCCUUGAACCUUAAACCAACUGAGUUUGCAUACAGCGUGAGUAGAAAAGAACUGGGAAGAAAAAUAGGACAUGGUCAUGCAGAAGGAUUCCAGUUGAUAAGAGCCAGAAAGAAAAACAGGACAUGGUCAUUUAGAGCAUUCCAGUCGACUCCCGAGGACCUGACCCUUCCUACAUACCUGGAAGUAGGGGUUUCUAGGCUCCCCUCAAGGAAGAUUCCACUCUCAAGGCAUUCACUGCUCUGUGAGCAGAAGAAGCAGGAGUCUCCUCUGAAGGGAGUUAUUCAGAGCCCUGUAAUUUUUAUUGUACGGAAUCCAGCAUUCAACAAAUAUUUACCAGCAAUUCCAAAAGCCAGCG